RNAcentral lists this ribosomal RNA (468 nucleotides) under uncultured bacterium. RNAcentral describes it as "bacterial SSU rRNA". It matches the Rfam family "Bacterial small subunit ribosomal RNA", at positions 329 to 794 of the family's 1533-position model. The record is from RNAcentral.
UUCCAGACUCCUACGGGAGGCAGCAGUGAGGAAUAUUGGUCAAUGGACGCAAGUCUGAACCAGCCAUGCCGCGUGCAGGAAGACGGCUCUAUGAGUUGUAAACUGCUUUUGUACGAGGGUAAACGCAGAUACGUGUAUCUGUCUGAAAGUAUCGUACGAAUAAGGAUCGGCUAACUCCGUGCCAGCAGCCGCGGUAAUACGGAGGAUUCAAGCGUUAUCCGGAUUUAUUGGGUUUAAAGGGUGCGUAGGCGGUCGGAUAAGUUAGAGGUGAAAUCCCGAGGCUCAACUUCGGAAUUGCCUCUGACACUGUUCGGCUAGAGAGUAGUUGCGGUAGGCGGAAUGCGUGGUGUAGCGGUGAAAUGCAUAGAUAUCACGCAGAACUCCGAUCGCGAAGGCAGCCUACCGGCGCGCAACUGACGCUCAUGCACGAAAGCGUGGGUAUCGAACAGGAUUAGAUACCCCCGUACU